RNAcentral lists this ribosomal RNA (775 nucleotides) under uncultured bacterium. Its description in RNAcentral is "bacterial SSU rRNA". It matches the Rfam family "Bacterial small subunit ribosomal RNA", at positions 59 to 822 of the family's 1533-position model. The record is from RNAcentral.
CAGUCGAACGGGGUUAUGAAGUGUGAGGAGUCAGCUUGCUGGUGACGAACAGUUCAUAACUUAGUGGCGGACGGGUGAGUAACGCGUGGGUAACCUGCCAUAUACAGGGGGAUAACACUUAGAAAUAGGUGCUAAUACCGCAUAAGCGCACGGAGCUGCAUGGCUCAGUGUGAAAAACUCCGGUGGUAUAUGAUGGACCCGCGUCUGAUUAGCUUGUUGGCGGGGUAACGGCCCACCAAGGCGACGAUCAGUAGCCGGCCUGAGAGGGUGGACGGCCACAUUGGGACUGAGACACGGCCCAAACUCCUACGGGAGGCAGCAGUGGGGAAUAUUGGACAAUGGGGGGAACCCUGAUCCAGCGACGCCGCGUGAGUGAAGAAGUAUUUCGGUAUGUAAAGCUCUAUCAGCAGGGAAGAAAGAAAUGACGGUACCUGACCAAGAAGCCCCGGCUAACUACGUGCCAGCAGCCGCGGUAAUACGUAGGGGGCAAGCGUUAUCCGGAUUUACUGGGUGUAAAGGGAGCGUAGACGGCAGCACAAGUCUGGAGUGAAAUCCCGGGGCUUAACCCCGGAACUGCUUUGGAAACUGUGCGGCUGGAGUGCAGGAGGGGUAAGCGGAAUUCCUAGUGUAGCGGUGAAAUGCGUAGAUAUUAGGAGGAACACCGGUGGCGAAGGCGGCUUACUGGACUGUAACUGACGUUGAGGCUCGAAAGCGUGGGGAGCAAACAGGAUUAGAUACCCUGGUAGUCCACGCCGUAAACGAUGAUUACUAGGUG